RNA transcript from Dermacentor andersoni, 3580 nucleotides. It is a transcript of the gene named armadillo, with no coding region annotated. Lineage: Eukaryota; Metazoa; Arthropoda; Arachnida; Ixodida; Ixodidae. The record is from RefSeq and is a predicted model, not a curated record.
GUCACGUGGUCAAGUUUUGGUGUGCGAUGGUUUCGUGACGCCAUUUUUGGCUGAACGGAAACGCCAACGAUAAUCGACUUUUUCGAACAUUCAGGCGCAACCUCAGGCUGUGCUGCCUCAACUCUGGCAAUAGCUGAACGACCGGAAUGAGCUACCAGAUGCAGUCGGGGGCACAACCUGCUGCGCGAUCAAUGAGCCAUGGCAACUACUCCAAUCCUGGUGACGUGCCAGUCAACCCCAAAGAACAGACCAUUCUCUGGCAACAAGGAAAUUAUCUGGCAGAUUCUGGCAUUCACUCUGGUGUUACAACUCAGGCACCCUCCAUAAGUGGCAAGGAGGAUGACUUGGGUGAUGAGCAAAUGGUGUUUGACUGGGAGCAGCCUGGCUUUGGCCAAGGGUUUACGCCUGACCAAGUAGAUGAGAUGAAUCAACAGCUGAGCCAGACUCGAUCGCAGAGGGUGCGCGCCGCAAUGUUUCCCGAAACACUGGACGAAGGAAUCGAGAUACCGUCGACUCAGUAUGACCCUGCACAGCCAACUGCUGUGCAGCGUUUGUCUGAGCCGUCGCAGAUGUUGAAGCAUGCUGUCGUGAACCUCAUCAACUACCAGGAUGAUGCCGACCUGGCUACCCGAGCCAUUCCAGAGCUAAUAAAAUUGCUGAACGAUGAAGACCAAGUUGUUGUUAGUCAAGCAGCGAUGAUGGUCCACCAGCUGUCGAAGAAGGAGGCCUCUCGCCACGCUAUCAUGAAUUCUCCGCAGAUGGUAGCGGCUUUGGUAAGGGCCAUGUCCACGUCCAAUGACCUGGAGACCACUCGAUGCGCUGCAGGGACCUUGCACAACUUGUCCCAUCACCGCCAAGGUUUAUUAGCCAUCUUCAAAUCUGGAGGGAUACCUGCUCUGGUGAAAUUGCUCAGCUCACCAGUGGAGUCCGUGCUUUUUUAUGCGAUCACCACUUUGCACAACUUGUUGCUGCAUCAAGAAGGCUCAAAAAUGGCUGUUCGGCUUGCUGGUGGUCUUCAAAAAAUGGUGUCCCUUCUUCAGAGAAACAAUGUCAAGUUUUUGGCCAUUGUCACAGACUGCUUGCAGAUUCUUGCCUAUGGAAACCAAGAAAGCAAGCUGAUCAUUCUGGCCAGUGGUGGACCAGCAGAAUUGGUCCGCAUUAUGCGUUCCUACACCUAUGAAAAACUUCUUUGGACCACUUCAAGGGUGCUCAAGGUGUUGUCCGUGUGUUCUAGCAACAAGCCGGCCAUUGUUGAAGCAGGUGGAGUGCAGGCCACGUCGAUGCACCUGGGGCAUCAAAGCCAGCGGCUGGUGCUGAAUUGCCUGUGGACGUUGCGCAACCUUUCGGAUGCUGCACUCAAGCAGGAGAGCCUAGAGCCUUUGCUGGCCAGUCUGGUCCAGCUGCUGGCAAGUGGUGACAUCAACGUGGUGACUUGCGCUGCGGGCAUCCUUUCCAACUUGACCUGCAACAACCACCGCAACAAAGUGACCUUAUGUCACGUAGGGGGCAUUGAGGCCCUUGUACGCACAGUUAUCCAGGCAGGAGACAGAGAGGAGAUCACAGAGCCUGCUGUGUGUGCGUUGCGGCACUUGACAUGCAGGCACCCGGAGGCCGAGCUAGCGCAAAACUCUGUGCGGCUCAACUAUGGCCUGCAAGUGAUAGUCAAGCUUCUGCACCCUCCAAGCCGCUGGCCCCUGGUCAAGGCUGUCAUUGGGUUGAUCCGCAACUUGGCCCUGUGCCCGGCCAAUCAUGCACCGCUGCGCGAGCACGGGGCCAUUCCUCGCCUUGUCCAGCUGUUGCACAAAUCCUAUCAGGACACUCAAAGGCAACGUUCCAGUGUGGCUUCAAACGGCAGUCAGCAGGGGGCGUACUCGGAUGGUGUGCGCAUGGAAGAAAUUGUAGAAGGCACGGUUGGGGCUCUGCACAUUCUAGCGCGAGAAACGCACAACCGAGCCAUCAUCCGCGGCCUCAACGUCAUUCCAGUGUUUGUGCAGCUCCUGUACAGCGACAUCGAGAAUAUACAGCGUGUUGCCGCUGGAGUCCUGUGUGAGCUGGCAGCCGACAAAGAAGGCGCCGAGAUGAUUGAAGCAGACGGUGCUACCGCUCCACUCACGGAUCUUCUGCAUUCCAGAAAUGAGGGAGUUGCCACAUAUGCGGCUGCAGUCCUCUUCCGCAUGUCAGAAGACAAGCCACAGGACUAUAAGAAGCGGCUCUCGAUGGAGCUGACCAAUUCGCUGUUCCGCGAGGAUGCCGGACCGUGGGGAGGCACUGGGCCAGACAUGGACAUGAACCUGGAUGCCUAUCAUGAACAAAUGUACUCGGGAAGCCAAGGACCUCCUAGUGGGCGCCACAAUCCCUACUCCCAGCAGGGUGAGGCCUUUGUGCUUAGCAACAACCUUUGAGGCCACAGGAGAGCCCAAAGAGAAUACGAGCUUGGCUAGGCGCCCAUAAUUGAACGACUUUACUGCUUUUGUUCACAAGCUGAGCUUCAGUCUUCUUGUACUUAGACGGAAUGUGUGGAAACACUUAUUGCCUUCACUUGCGACAGUAGUUCUGCAGAUGUACUUGCCCUUUGUCAAAUGUGCCGAAGUUGCAUUGUGCAAAACUUGUGCUUUGAUUGCCUGUGUUUACAAGCAAGAAAAUUGGAUCAUGUAACUAAAGGCAGUUGUGCUGCUGUUUUUCUUAUGAAACAUAAGUAUGCUUGAUUUAAUAGAAUAAGUUGGUCAAAAGUAUGUAAAUUAAAAUGUGCUAUGCAUUGCAAAGCCUUUCGAAAAUCUCAUGUCAGGACAGGAGGACAUGCCAGUUAUUUGCUUGCACAUGUCAGGCUUAAAAAACUGGCUUAAUCGUUAAACUUUACCAUGACUAUUUGAUGUAAGCUUUUGUUAUUCUGAGAGGCUUCAUGAAAGAUAAAUUUAUCAAAAGUAUUUACAGCAGGCACGUUUCACAUAUAAUUUGUGAUUUUCCUUUGAGAAAGCUUUUGAGUAUGUAUGUGAAUGCUGUGUGCUCUGCAACAUUAGUUUUGUCUAAACAAAGCUUUUUAGUUCCCAUAGUGAAUAAUUUUGCUGAAAUCAAUGAGCUUGGUUUUGAGACCACAAGGUUCAGGCGGGGCUCAGCGAGCAGUAUGUUAAAUGUCAGUCUGUAAUAAGUGUGAGCGCAUCCCCAGCCAUGAACGCACUUCACGCGAAAACGCGACAAGCUUAAAUGUGCGCAGCUCAUCGCACAGUGUUUCGAAUGCGAUGUCGCAUGCGUUAAUGCUCUUAGGUCAGUGUUUGUCACCUUUUCAACUAACCAAGUUAACCACAGCUGUUUUGGUCGUAACAUCUGCGACAUGGGUCUCAAGGCCAACGAAAUCAUGUGCACAGUCGUUGUGCUUAAUGCACUUGUUUUUCCUUGGAGCUCAAAGAACUAUUGUUGAAGUGUCUGAUACUGAUCGCUUCAAAAACAUUCUUUUCCUCUGAGCUGUCCUUUAUCUGGAAGGAUCAUGCAGUGGUUAUGACAACCAAGUCCCCAUAGACUCUAUGCAAGGACUUGACUUGGGGCCAUCACAAGGUGGACAUAAUUACACCCCGAUGGACACAGG